CCCAGGUUAGCUCAGUUGGUAGAGCGCUCCACUUGUAAUGGAGAGGUCCCGGGUUCGAUACCCGGACCAGGCG
This is a non-coding RNA of Ixodes scapularis (black-legged tick), 73 nucleotides long. The record is from Rfam. NCBI's taxonomy places the organism in Eukaryota, Metazoa, Arthropoda, Arachnida, Ixodida, Ixodidae.